AUGGCAACUUCAACAGUCAAGGCAGGAUGGACACUGAAAGAUGGGACAUGGGCUGCAAAUCAAAUGGUGGUCUCCAGGAAGUUAAGAGCCAGUGUAUGUGGAGCAGGCAGGCCGAGGAGUGAAGAUGACCCAGUGUUAAGAGCCUGUGAUUAGUAACUAUAUGGUCUUGACUUACAUACAUAGUCUGUUGAGACUGGAAAAGGAUGUUAUUACUUCUGUGGUUCUAAGUGUGGUGACAAUAUCAGUGGCAUAGGCAUCACCUGGAAACUAAUUAGAAAUGCAAAUUUUCAGGUUUUUCCCUAGACCCACUGAAUCAGAAGCUCUGGAGUUGGGGCCCAGCAAUCUGGGUCAUCUUUAUCAAGAUUUCUGGGUGAUUCUGAUGUAUACUUGUGUUUGAGAACCACUGCUUUACACAAACAUUUUGAUGAUUAACUGGAAGAGUUGGGGAGAUCAUAUCAUACAGAGUAGAGUCCCUUUCCUGAUCAAAUCUUCACCCAUUAUUGAUGUAGUCUUACAUAAUGAUGCUGGUGCCUCUACAGUUUAUAAACUCAGAGAAAGUGGGGGCUGGGGGCACAGAAAGGAAGUCAAAAGAGAGCUAGAAGUUAUGAUUUAAGGGAGUUCAAGGACUCAGUAUUUCUACACCCAACAUUUACUUUUCAGCAGUCUUCAAAAUAGUCAUAAAAGUCAGAAGGUGGAGGAGAAAGAGAAACAUUAUGCUCUUUAUAUUGAAGAGAUUAGGAACUCUCUACACAUCCUGGACCACGUUCAACUACUACAGAGAAAGUCACAUUUGCAGUUGUGAGAAGAGCUUAGUGGUGAAUCCAUAGACAAACGUAGCAACAUUCUCAUUUCAGGACUGGCAUCAUCUAAGUUGGUGCGCUCGUGCCUGCCUGCUGCAAGAACACCUCUGUUCCUAACUCCGUUGGUAUGGCUUGUGUAUCUUCUACCUCACUCAUAAAUCAUUUUGCUCAGAAGCCUGAUUCUGGGCUAGC
Talpa occidentalis (Iberian mole) is the source of this 992-nucleotide long non-coding RNA. RefSeq lists it as uncharacterized. NCBI's taxonomy places the organism in Eukaryota, Metazoa, Chordata, Mammalia, Eulipotyphla, Talpidae. The transcript is spliced from 4 exons. The record is from RefSeq and is a predicted model, not a curated record.